UACGUAGGGGGCAAGCGUUGUCCGGAAUCAUUGGGCGUAAAGCGCGUGUAGGCGGCUUUGCAAGUCGGGUGUGAAAGCCCUCAGCUCAACUGAGGAAGUGCGCCCGAAACUGCAGAGCUUGAGUGCCGGAGAGGGUGGCGGAAUUCCCCAAGUAGAGGUGAAAUUCGUAGAUAUGGGGAGGAACACCGGUGGCGAAGGCGGCCACCUGGACGGUAACUGACGCUGAGACGCGAAAGCGUGGGGAGCAAACAGG
This 253-nucleotide ribosomal RNA is filed under the name uncultured bacterium. RNAcentral's name for it is "partial 16S ribosomal RNA". It matches the Rfam family "Bacterial small subunit ribosomal RNA", at positions 524 to 776 of the family's 1533-position model. The record is from RNAcentral.